UGCAGUCGAGCGCGCCCUUCGGGGUGAGCGGCGGACGGGUUAGUAACGCGUGGGAAUAUGCCCUUUGGUACGGAAUAGCCUCUGGAAACGGAGAGUAAUACCGUAUGAGCCCUUCGGGGGAAAGAUUUAUCGCCAAAGGAUUAGCCCGCGUUAGAUUAGGUAGUUGGUGGGGUAAUGGCCUACCAAGCCUACGAUCUAUAGCUGGUUUUAGAGGAUGAUCAGCAACACUGGGACUGAGACACGGCCCAGACUCCUACGGGAGGCAGCAGUGGGGAAUCUUGGACAAUGGGGGCAACCCUGAUCCAGCCAUGCCGCGUGAGUGAUGAAGGCCUUAGGGUCGUAAAGCUCUUUCGCCUGUGAAGAUAAUGACGGUAGCAGGUAAAGAAACCCCGGCUAACUCCGUGCCAGCAGCCGCGGUAAUACGGAGGGGGUUAGCGUUGUUCGGAAUUACUGGGCGUAAAGCGCACGUAGGCGGAUCGGAAAGUUGGGGGUGAAAUCCCGGGGCUCAACCCCGGAACUGCCUCCAAAACUAUCGGUCUAGAGUUCGAGAGAGGUGAGUGGAAUUCCGAGUGUAGAGGUGAAAUUCGUAGAUAUUCGGAGGAACACCAGUGGCGAAGGCGGCUCACUGGCUCGAUACUGACGCUGAGGUGCGAAAGUGUGGGGAGCAAACAGGAUUAGAUACCCUGGUAGUCCACACCGUAGACGAUGAAUGCCAGUCGUCGGGUAGCAUGCUAUUCGGUGACACACCUAACGGAUUAAGCAUUCCGCCUGGGGAGUACGGUCGCAAGAUUAAAACUCAAA
RNAcentral lists this ribosomal RNA (801 nucleotides) under Paracoccaceae bacterium. RNAcentral describes it as "bacterial SSU rRNA". It matches the Rfam family "Bacterial small subunit ribosomal RNA", at positions 56 to 905 of the family's 1533-position model. The record is from RNAcentral. Lineage: Bacteria; Pseudomonadati; Pseudomonadota; Alphaproteobacteria; Rhodobacterales; Paracoccaceae.